UACGGAGGGUGCAAGCGUUGUCCGGAUUUAUUGGGUUAAAGGGUGCGUAGGCGGCUCAUUAAGUCUGGGGUGAAAGCCCGUUGCUCAACCAACGGAACUGCCCUGGAAACUGGUGAGCUUGAGUACAGACGAGGGUGGCGGAAUGGAUGCUGUAGCGGUGAAAUGCAUAGAUAGCAUCCAGAACCCCCGAUUGCGAAGGCAGCUGCCCGAGCUGAUAACGUGACUGAGGCACGAAAGCGUGGGGAGCGAACAGG
This 254-nucleotide ribosomal RNA is filed under the name uncultured bacterium. RNAcentral's name for it is "partial 16S ribosomal RNA". It matches the Rfam family "Bacterial small subunit ribosomal RNA", at positions 524 to 776 of the family's 1533-position model. The record is from RNAcentral.